CGCGGCGAGCACUACUCCCCUGCUGUGGCGCUCACGGUAAAGCAAAAAAGCGUCUCGGUCGGUGCGAACGGGCGGAUUAAAGGCGGUAAUUGAUUUGGCGUUUUAGGGCGCGGAUCGGCUGGAAAUUAAUUAAUUUAGUCGGGGGAGGAUUAAAGAACGGACCGGUUGAAGGACGGGCAUGUAGACGCAUGUCGUUUUGUUUGAUCACGGGAGGGUCAAUCUAG
RNAcentral lists this long non-coding RNA (224 nucleotides) under Eucalyptus grandis. RNAcentral describes it as "long non-coding RNA (EGRA_LNC003850)". The record is from RNAcentral. Lineage: Eukaryota; Viridiplantae; Streptophyta; Magnoliopsida; Myrtales; Myrtaceae.